This 1107-nucleotide long non-coding RNA is filed under the name Marmota monax (woodchuck). The record is from RNAcentral. Lineage: Eukaryota; Metazoa; Chordata; Mammalia; Rodentia; Sciuridae.
CAGGAAUCAGUAUUUUUGUAAAGUCUCCCAGGUAAUUUCUAUGUGCACUCAAGUUUGAAAGUCAACGCUAGCUACUGCACAUUAUAUCAUCUGGGGAAACUGAAAAGGACCAAUGCCUGGCUCCAGCCCUGCUGAAUCUCUGGAGACCUGUGUGCUGCAGGGAGGGACCUGAACAUUUCUAUGCUUUAUAAACAUCAGAGAUGAUUAUCUGCAUCCAGGGCUGGUAACUAGAGGUGAAGAGAUGGAAUCAACAUCUGCAGUUUGUUCAGACCCUGCGAUCUUCUGAAUGUUUAUUGUUGCUAUCUUUAGGGAAGUUAUUACCACUCUUUUGCCUUGGAACUGUGACUUGUACACCCCCAUUCACAUCCCCACCUCUUUAAUCUUCCCUUCUAGAUUGCAAAAUAAUGCCUGUUGAUGUUUGGAAAUCUGGAAAUAACAGAAAAGCGCACCAGAUAAAAUGUACCCAAUAUAACUCCAGUUCCAACAGUUCUCGAUGAAUAUAACCACUGCUUCCUUUUUGGCCUAUAUUCUUUUAAGCUAGAGAGAAUACUUUAGUAGGAAAAAUAAUUAACAUGGUAUCCACUCCCUUAACAAAAGUUGAGUUGUAUAACCCAUUCUUCUUGACUCUAGGUACAACACCAUACAGUAGAUCUCUAAAGCUUUCCGUCUUGUUUAGCUGAAUCUUUAUACCUGUCAGUAACUCUCCAUUUCUCCCUUUCCCCAGCCUUGAAACCUUCCUUCAACCCACUGUUUUUAUAAAAUCAACUAUUUUGCAUAUCACAAAAAAGUGGAAUCAUGCCAUAUUUUUUGUUCUGUGACUGGCUUAUUUCACACAGCAUAAUGUCCUCAAAGCCAAUCCAUGUUGUCACAUUCUGCAGAAUUUUCUUCUUUCUCAAGGCCAACUAAUAUUCCACUCUAUGUCUGUAUUGUGGUUUCUUUAUCCGGUCAUCUGUUGAUUUAGGUUGACUUCCUGUCCCACAUAGUGCUAUCAUGAACAUGGCAGAGCUAAUCUCGUCAAUGUUUUGGAUAAAUAUCCACAUGUGGAAUUGCUGGAUCAUAGAAGUCCAUUUUUUUUAUUGUUAUAUUCUUGUAGUACUUUUUUGUUUG